GGGCCCGUAGCUCAGCGGCAGAGCGGGCGGCUCAUAACCGUUUGGUCGCAGGUUCGAAUCCUGCCGGGCCCA
This 72-nucleotide transfer RNA is filed under the name Chloroflexota bacterium. Its description in RNAcentral is "Chloroflexi bacterium (anaerobic digester metagenome) tRNA-Ile". It matches the Rfam family "tRNA". Rfam says of the family: Transfer RNA (tRNA) molecules are approximately 80 nucleotides in length. Their secondary structure includes four short double-helical elements and three loops (D, anti-codon, and T loops). Further hydrogen bonds mediate the characteristic L-shaped molecular structure. tRNAs have two regions of fundamental functional importance: the anti-codon, which is responsible for specific mRNA codon recognition, and the 3' end, to which the tRNAs corresponding amino acid is attached (by aminoacyl-tRNA synthetases). tRNAs cope with the degeneracy of the genetic code in two manners: having more than one tRNA (with a specific anti-codon) for a particular amino acid; and 'wobble' base-pairing, i.e. permitting non-standard base-pairing at the 3rd anti-codon position. The record is from RNAcentral. Lineage: Bacteria; Bacillati; Chloroflexota.